GUGCUCGCUUCAGCACCACUUGUACUAAAAUUGGAAUGAUACAGAGAUUAGCACGGCCCCUGUGCAUGGAUGACAUGUAAAUUCAUGAAGCAUUCCAUAUUUUU
RNAcentral lists this small nuclear RNA (104 nucleotides) under Dasypus novemcinctus (nine-banded armadillo). Lineage: Eukaryota; Metazoa; Chordata; Mammalia; Cingulata; Dasypodidae. The record is from RNAcentral.